CCCCCGGGGCGGGGGGCUUCCCCGAGAGCAGGACGGGGCCACUCCCGCCGCCGCCGCCUCCGGACUCGGCCAGCGUCGGCAGGCGGCCCCCGAGAGGGGGAGCCAAGAUUGAUUCCAGCUUCAUGUACAGAUAACAGUCUGACUCUUCCGCAUUGGCUGCAAGGAUUCUCCAUAGUGUGAAGAACAGUGCACUGGAGUGGAAAUGAAGCUCUCUUCUCUACGUUGAUAGAUGUAGAUGUCAAUUUUUAUUUCAUGGCUGGCCUGUGAGUGCCCCAAUUGGAGAACAGCCUGUCAUGGGCUCUGAAGAUGCUUGAACUCAGGACGAAAGGGAGAAACGUGCUAAGAGGAAGGCACACU
Molecule: long non-coding RNA, 357 nt
Organism: Podarcis muralis (Common wall lizard)
Lineage: Eukaryota; Metazoa; Chordata; Lepidosauria; Squamata; Lacertidae
Source: RefSeq, a predicted model, not a curated record